RNAcentral lists this long non-coding RNA (2463 nucleotides) under Mus musculus (house mouse). RNAcentral describes it as "long non-coding RNA chr15:76232659-76235122". Lineage: Eukaryota; Metazoa; Chordata; Mammalia; Rodentia; Muridae. The record is from RNAcentral.
GAGCUGCGCUGCCCGGGCGCCUCCGAAAACGAGCAAAGGAUUCACGCGUGACCGGGCUACGUGCCAAGAGUACUGGACCCGGAGGUUGCAGAACCGGAGCCGAAGAUAUGACUAGAUCAGGCGGCACUCACCGAGUGCGCACACCUUGGUGGGCGGUGAGUGAGGAGACAAGAGAUGCUGCUGGCGAUCGUGAGGUCGUAGGAGUGCACCGCGUCCAGACGCCUGGAUCCACUGCCCACCGCCGCCCCCACCCUCCGUGAACAGCUGACCCGUCCCUAGCCACGUGGGUGGCCCCCACUCCCCAAACAGGUCGGAUUCUGAGUUCCAGCCGGUCCUUCUAACUGGUUUCAAGUACAGGUUUAUUCAAAGACAGAGAACCCCUCUAGGGCGCGGUCCAACCAAGACGGGUGUGUCUGGCGGUGCUCCCUCCUGCCGUGUUCUGCUGACCCCUGGCGGUCGAGCAGGCCAAGGAACCAUUAGGUCUGGCCCUCCCCAGUCCACAGUCAUCCUGUCUAUCCAGCCAAAGACAGGAGUGCUCCCGUGGGCAGCUCUGACACUUAAGGACUUUGUAGAGCAGGGAACCAGAAGCUGGCCUCUUAGGUCAAAUGUCCAGGAAAGAGAUCCAAGAGACCAAGAGAGUUAUCAGGGGGUACCCGGGAGUAUGUUCUUGCAGGUGAUUAGAUGAGUCGGUAAAGCUUGGGUAUCGUGAAAGAUGACAAAGAUUCUGGGCUGCUGAAGGCAGUCCACAGCGCUGUCGUAGCGAAGCACCUGACCGGAGACCCUCAAAGGAGGUGCCUUCAGACCGCGGGAACCCUGUCCAUAGUCACCCGUCAGCACCUGUGCCACAAACACUGCCUUGUAGCCUUCUGCGUUGGGAGGCGAGUAGCGAUCCAGUACCGACAGAGAGGCACGCUUGGCGAAGUACACGCCCUGUCCGUAGAGUGUGCCUACAGGGCAGGACAGGUGAGUCAAUCACCAAGGUGAGGGUCUUCGGGGUUAGCAUGGCUGGCCCACCUCCCUGCCCGGCACAGGCCUUACCGUUUCGGCCACAGAAACUGCGAUUGAAGCCGUGCGCACAGAUGUCGAGCACUGCAGACUCUGAAGUGCCAUGGUAGAGGACCUGCUCCACUGGGCGUUGCUGGCAGCUCUGCAUUAAACGCUCCCGGUGCAGCUGGUACUGUUGCUGCAGCAAUGGGUGUGACACGCGUUCUACCUGCCAAGUACAUGGUAGUUGAGGUGAAGUUAUUUGGAAUCUAUCCCUACAACAGCCAGGAGAAAGCUGAACUCAGCACUCUGGUGGAAGGAAGAAUUUAGGAUUUACAUGAAAACUUGAAAGCUCACCAUGCUGCUCUGUCUAGAGAAAUACAGUGACUGUCUCCAUGGGACGAGUGACACGGGAGGGCUAGCUUCCAGGAAGGCCUAACUCCUCCAGGGAGCCCUGCAGGUGGGUAGACCCCACCCCCACCCCACUCACCUAAAUUUAGGACCAACAAUCAGGCUUCAACAGUAAAAAGCCAAGCCAGGAGCCUGUAUUGCCUCUCAGCACUAGAAGGCUCAGACAGCAGAGAAGACCUCAGCCAACCAACCCCUGUUCCUGAAGGAAAAAAAAAAAAACUCAGGCUUUCAAACAGAGCUUUUAAAGAAAUGCUAACUGGCCUUUUAGGAGGCAGAUGAUUACCACAUCCAUAAAACAAAACUACCUGCUAUGAAAAAAUCUGGACAUCAGAAACAGGACAUUUAGGAUGAGAUUUCUAGGCUGGAGAUACAGUGGGGAGGACAGAGCGCUUGCUUAGCAAGUGGAAUGGAUCCCCAGGGUAAAAAAGGAAAGAGAAACACCGGGUGGUGGCUCACACCUUUAAUCUCAGCACUCCGGAGGCAGACGCAGGCAAAUCUCUUGAGUUUGAGGCCAGCCUGGUCUACAGAGGGAGUUCCGGAACAGCCAGGGCUAUACAGAGAAAUCCUGUCUCAAAAAAACCCAAUAGAUAGAUAGAUAGAUAGAUAGAUAGAUCUACACAGAGAAAUCCUGUCUAAAAAACAAUAGAUAGAUAGACAGACAGACAGACAGACAGACAGAUGAAAGGGAGGGGGAAUAGGAGAGAGGAAGAGAAGAAGAAAUAGCAGAGGAGGAGGAGAAGGAAAGGAUUGCUGAGCUAAUUCUGUUCAUGGACCAGAUAAUGAAGUGGUUAAAGCUACAGAUUCGACUAUGCGGUACUCUAGAUGGAUCUAAGAAACCGGUGCUGAGAACAGAGCUAAGAGAUGAGAGAGAGCAACCAUGAGAGGACAGGCAAGAACAUGAAGCAGGCGGGGACUAAGCUCUGCUUCCUAAGAAGGUGGUGCAGCUGGGAACAAAGUGGAAGACGUGUCCCUGAGCUGGAGGCCAUUAGCACCAGAUGGAGAGAACCAUGAAGUGCCAAGGACAUUGGGAAAGACAUGGCCCUGGCACCUAGCAGAAAACCAUAGCUU